Molecule: ribosomal RNA, 531 nt
Filed under: Klebsiella pneumoniae
Lineage: Bacteria; Pseudomonadati; Pseudomonadota; Gammaproteobacteria; Enterobacterales; Enterobacteriaceae
Description: bacterial SSU rRNA
Rfam family: Bacterial small subunit ribosomal RNA
Source: RNAcentral
CGAUGGCGCUGGCGGCAGGCCUAACACAUGCAAGUCGAGCGGUAGCACACAGAGCUUGCUCUCGGGUGACGAGCGGCGGACGGGUGAGUAAUGUCUGGGAAACUGCCUGAUGGAGGGGGAUAACUACUGGAAACGGUAGCUAAUACCGCAUAANGUCNCAAGACCAAAGUGGGGGACCUUCGGGCCUCAUGCCAUCAGAUGUGCCCAGAUGGGAUUAGCUAGUAGGUGGGGUAANGGCUCACCUAGGCGACGAUCCCUAGCUGGUCUGAGAGGAUGACCAGCCACACUGGAACUGAGACACGGUCCAGACUCCUACGGGAGGCAGCAGUGGGGAAUAUUGCACAAUGGGCGCAAGCCUGAUGCACCAUGCCGCGUGUGUGAAGAAGGCCUUCGGGUUGUAAAGCACUUUCAGCGGGGAGGAAGGCGUUGAGGUUAAUAACCUUGUCGAUUGACGUUACCCGCAGAAGAAGCACCGGCUAACUCCGUGCCAGCCAGCCGCGGUAAUACGGAAGGUGCAAGCGUUAAUUCGAA